AUCAAUGCACUUGUAUACUGGGGGCAGGUCUUAGCCUGUCCCUAUGCCCUUUCACUCUAGGGAUCUCUACAUCCUCCUCUUUCCCACUCCACCUGAGCCACCUACACCUCUUUGGGGGACCCUUGUGCCAAGAAACCUACCUUAAUCCAGAUCAAGUGAAUGAAGCCUGGGAUUCUGGAUCUCAAGAGUUCCCCCAAAGCCUCUGUCUUCCUUCUGUAGCUGAGCUGCUUCAGCCUCUGUGGGACACUCAUUUGAAGGAACCUGUCUAAAUCCAUGUAAGGU
This 282-nucleotide long non-coding RNA is filed under the name Sus scrofa (pig). RNAcentral describes it as "lncRNA (ENSSSCG00040065635.1)". The record is from RNAcentral. Lineage: Eukaryota; Metazoa; Chordata; Mammalia; Artiodactyla; Suidae.